This 253-nucleotide ribosomal RNA is filed under the name uncultured bacterium. RNAcentral describes it as "partial 16S ribosomal RNA". It matches the Rfam family "Bacterial small subunit ribosomal RNA", at positions 524 to 776 of the family's 1533-position model. The record is from RNAcentral.
GACAGAGGGUGCAAACGUUGUUCGGAGUUACUGGGCGUAAAGCGCGUGUAGGCUGCUCAGAAAGUCGGAUGUGAAAGCCCUGGGCUUAACCUAGGAAGUGCAUUCGAAACUUCUGAGCUUGAGUUCUGGAGAGGAAGGCGGAAUUCUCGGUGUAGAGGUGAAAUUCGUAGAUAUCGAGAGGAACACCGGUGGCGAAGGCGGCCUUCUGGACAGUGACUGACGCUGAGACGCGAAAGCGUGGGGAGCAAACAGG